This 200-nucleotide long non-coding RNA is filed under the name Elaeis guineensis (African oil palm). RNAcentral describes it as "long non-coding RNA (EGUI_LNC059345)". Lineage: Eukaryota; Viridiplantae; Streptophyta; Magnoliopsida; Arecales; Arecaceae. The record is from RNAcentral.
UCUAUAAUGUAUGCAUAGAUAAAAUCUAAGUCACCAUAUAGGAUCUAUGACAUAAACUAAUAUGCAUAUAUACACAUUUGAAAUCUAGAAUUCAGUAAGUACAGAAUAUAUCUAAAUAUAAUUAGAUCAUAUCUAAUUCAUAUUUAAAUUACAUCUAAAAAUUAAUUGAGAUCAAAAUCUCAUACUUGAGCGUGGAUAGU